This 497-nucleotide ribosomal RNA is filed under the name uncultured bacterium. RNAcentral describes it as "partial 16S ribosomal RNA". It matches the Rfam family "Bacterial small subunit ribosomal RNA", at positions 28 to 507 of the family's 1533-position model. The record is from RNAcentral.
GAUGAACGCUGGCGGCGUGCCUAAUACAUGCAAGUCGAGCGAACAGAUGAGGAGCUUGCUCCUCUGACGUUAUCGGCGGACGGGUGAGUAACACGUGGAUAACCUACCUAUAAGACUGGGAUAACUUCGGGAAACCGGAGCUACUACCGGAUAAUAUAUUGAACCGCAUGGUUCAAUAGUGAAAGACGGUUUUGCUGUCACUUAUAGAUGGAUCCGCGCCGCAUUAGCUAGUUGGUAAGGUAACGGCUUACCAAGGCAACGAUGCGUAGCCGACCUGAGAGGGUGAUCGGCCACACGGGAACUGAGACACGGUCCAGACUCUUGCGGGAGGCAGCAGUAGGGAAUCUUCCGCAAUGGGCGAAAGCCUGACGGAGCAACGCCGCGUGAGUGAUGAAGGUCUUCGGAUCGGAAAACUCUGUUAGUAGGGAAGAACAAAUGUGUAAGUAACUAUGCACGUCUUGACGGUACCUAAUCAGAAAGCCACGGCUAACUACGUG